GACUUUGUAGCUCAGCUGGUAGAGCAUUUGCAACGUUUUGGCAUGUUGUUUCUGUCGCUGGUUCGAAUCCAGCCGAAGUCC
Molecule: transfer RNA, 81 nt
Filed under: Paragonimus skrjabini miyazakii
Lineage: Eukaryota; Metazoa; Platyhelminthes; Trematoda; Plagiorchiida; Troglotrematidae
Description: Paragonimus miyazakii tRNA
Rfam family: tRNA
About the family: Transfer RNA (tRNA) molecules are approximately 80 nucleotides in length. Their secondary structure includes four short double-helical elements and three loops (D, anti-codon, and T loops).
Source: Rfam by way of RNAcentral